This 1012-nucleotide ribosomal RNA is filed under the name Corbicula fluminea. Its description in RNAcentral is "16S ribosomal RNA". The stretch from base 629 to 1012 matches the Rfam family "Bacterial large subunit ribosomal RNA", at positions 2048 to 2700 of the family's 2925-position model. The record is from RNAcentral. RNAcentral also lists the same sequence under 1 other name. Lineage: Eukaryota; Metazoa; Mollusca; Bivalvia; Venerida; Cyrenidae.
CCUGAAAGCUUUUGAGCUAUCUUUAUGUAUAGUUAAUGUUUCAAAAUUAAAGAAAAUAUAAAGAUAGAAAUGAUAUGUUUUUCGCAAAAGCUGAUAGCUGGUUAAGAAAAAAAUACAUUUACGUGUAGAUUUAAAAGUUACUAAUUUUUAAAAAAUUUAAGUAGUUUUAAAUUUAAGUUAUAAAGGGAUGAGCUUUUAUAAUAACAAGAAAAUUUAGGCUUUUUGUAUAGUUGAAAUUGCUAAUCAGUAAUAUGUUUUCGUAAAAAGAAGCUUAGGUUUGUGUUUUUAUUUAUAUUUCUUUUUCUUAAAAAAUUUUUUAUGGAGAGAUUAGUAUAGGAUUAGUAUUAAUGUUUUAUUAUUCAAAAGAAAGAAGGUUGAAUUAAAAUAGUUUUGUAAAAUUAAUUUAUUUUUUAAGAACUCGGCAAAUAUUUUUUACGCCUGUUUAACAAAAACAUGGCCUUUUGGGGAUUUAUAUAAAAGGUUGGGCCUGCCCGGUGAUCUGAAAUGGUUUAACGGCUGCGAUUGAAACCGUACUAAGGUAGCAUAAUAAUUUGCCCUUUAAUUGGGGGAGAGAAUGAAUGGUUUGACGGUAAAAAAGCUGUUUUAAAAAUAAAAAAAGAAGUUAACUUUUAAGUGAAAAGGCUUAAGUUUUUAUAAAAGACGAGAAGACCCCGUCGAGCUUAAUUAGAAUAACUUAAAUGUAGGUUAUUUAAAAUUUUAUUGGGGCAAUAGAAAAUGAAAUGAAUCAUUUUUUUUAUUAUAAGGAUCCAGUUUUGACUGAAAAAAGCAAAAGCUACCGCGGGGAUAACAGGGUAAUUUUUUCUGAGAGUUCAUAUUUAAGAAGAAGUUUGCUACCUCGAUGUUGGAUUAGAAUUUCUUUAUGCUUGCAGCAGGUAUAAUAGUAGGACUGUUCGUCCUUUAAAAUUUUACAUGAUCUGAGUUCAGACCGGUGUAAACUAGGUCGGUUUCUAUCUUUAUUUAAAAAAACUUUUGUACGAAAGGAUCAAGUUUU